GACGAACGCUGGCGGCGUGCUUAACACAUGCAAGUCGAACGAAGUGGCGAACGGGUGAGUAACGCGUAAUCAACCUGCCCUUCAGCCGAGGAUAACAGUUGGAAACGACUGCUCAUACCGCAUACUGAAGGAGGGGCCUGCGUGUGAUUGGGUAGUUGGGGGGGAAACGGCCCCCCAAGGCGAUGGUCAGUAGCCGGUCUGAGGAGAUGAACGGCCACAGUGGGACUGAGACACGGCCCAGACUCCUCCGGGAGGCAGCAGUGGGGAAUCUUCCGCAAUGGACGAAAGUCUUACGGAGCAACGCCGCGUUGGUGAUGACGGCCUGCGGGUUGCAAAGCUCUGUUAAUCGGGACGCGGUACCGGAAUAGAAAGCCACGGCUAACUACGUGCCAGCAGCCGCGGUAAUAC
This 408-nucleotide ribosomal RNA is filed under the name uncultured bacterium. RNAcentral's name for it is "partial 16S ribosomal RNA". It matches the Rfam family "Bacterial small subunit ribosomal RNA", at positions 28 to 526 of the family's 1533-position model. The record is from RNAcentral.